Long non-coding RNA from Oncorhynchus keta (chum salmon), 3060 nucleotides. RefSeq lists it as uncharacterized. The transcript has 5 exons. The record is from RefSeq and is a predicted model, not a curated record. NCBI's taxonomy places the organism in Eukaryota, Metazoa, Chordata, Actinopteri, Salmoniformes, Salmonidae.
GAGACAGCAUCACUAGACCUAACUACUCAGUAUGCAAGUAUGACGACACUGCCAAACAUUUCUAUACCAACGAGGUGCUUGUCUGUGUAACUAAAGUACAUGCAUGUCAGUACAGUCCCAAACAGGCCUUUCCCCAUCUCCAGAGGAGAGGAUGGGAUGGGAAAUUGCUUAUUUUCAUGAGAUUCAACAUCAAUGGGGAAUAGGUGUUUAGGAGGUUCUUCCACUAGUUCUGCAUAAGGUAUAGGUUUUAAGUUCCAGAAAGUCCUCUGUUUGGGCUUAAAACUGUGUAAAAAUAGACCAAGUCAGAAUCAAAGCCACCAAGCUACCCUGUGAUCUGUGAGUAACAACAAUCAUUUAAUCAUCAGAGACUCUCUCUUCCUUUCUAGAGAUAUCGCAGUAACACCCUAUAAAAAGCCUUUUAAUAAUACACACACGAUGCCUCUGAUAAAGAACUGUCUCGUUUGACUGAUGUGAUGACGGGAAACAGUCUAAAUCAAAUCUCUGCAUGUCUGUGGGCCGUGGUAGUGACUGGCAGCUGUCUGCACAAAAGCUGCCACACUGGGACGAGCUUAGACAUAUUCACUGGGGUCUCAGAUGCUUCCAAUAUACAUAAAUAAAGUACAAAUGCCAAGUAAUCAAUAGCCAGUAUAUUGGAAUGCCAUCAUUGUGAAUUUGAAUCAAUCUAAAUCAAAUUAAGAGUUGAAAAUAGACUACAGUCUAUUUCUGCUUUGUCAUUAUGAAGGUAGACUACAGUCCAGCUUUGCUUUGUCAUUAUAAAGGUAGACUACAGUCCAGCUUUGCUUUGUCAUUAUGAAGGUAGACUACAGUCCAGCAUCGCUUUGUCAUUAUGAAGGUAGACUACAGUCCAGCAUCGCUUUGUCAUUAUGAAGGUAGACUACAGUCCAGCAUCGCUUUGUCAUUAUGAAGGUAGACUACAGUCCAGCAUCGCUUUGUCAUUAUGAAGGUAGACUACAGUCCAGCAUCGCUUUGUCAUUAUGAAGGUAGACUACAGUCCAGCAUCGCUUUGUCAUUAUGAAGGUAGACUACAGUCCAGCAUCACUUUGUCAUUAUGAAGGUAGACUAAAGUCCAGCUUUGCUUUGUCAUUAUGAAGGUAGACUACAGUCCAGCUUUGCUUUGUCAUUAUGAAGGUAGACUACAGUCCAGCAUCGCUUUGUCAUUAUGAAGGUAGACUAAAGUCCAGCUUUGCUUUGUCAUUAUGAAGGUAGACUACAGUCAAGCAUCGCUAUGUCAUUAUAAAGGUAGAUUAUGAAGGUAGACUACAGUCCAGCUUUGCUUUGUCAUUAUGAAGGUAGACUACAGUCCAGCUUUGCUUUGUCAUUAUGAAGGUAGACUACAGUCCAGCAUCGCUUUGUCAUUAUGAAGGUAGACUACAGUCCAGCUUUGCUUUGUCAUUAUGAAGGUAGACUACAGUCCAGCAUCGCUUUGUCAUUAUGAAGGUAGACUACAGUCCAGCAUCGCUUUGUCAUUAUGAAGGUAGACUACAGUCCAGCAUCGCUUUGUCAUUAUGAAGGUAGACUACAGUCCAGCAUCGCUUUGUCAUUAUGAAGGUAGACUACAGUCCAGCAUCGCUUUGUCAUUAUGAAGGUAGACUACAGUCCAGCAUUGCUAUGUCAUUAUGAAGGUAGACUACAGUCCAGCAUCGCUAUGUUAUCGUCAGAAAGACACAGCAUAACCCAUCCAUAACCAAGUAAAGUUCAGGAUCAUGAGUCUGUGCACGUCAGAUGUUUUCCUGUCCCGAUAUAACACAGUGCACCCAGUGGGCCCUGAAUGUCCUGAGGCAGUAAGUUAAAAGCUUCAGAAACAGAAUUAUAGCUGCCUAAGUCAGGAGUCUGGGCCAUUUAGAAUAGCUCCCAAAUAGUACCCCUUUCCCUCUGGUGUGCACUACUUUUGACCAGGGCUCUUGCCGAAAGUAGUGCACUAUGUAGGGAAGAGGGUCCCAUUUGAACCCAGCAGAUGUAGCACUCACAGCAUAAUGUCUUUCCCUCCCCUUUGGGAGACAGAGUGAGGACAAGUCAGUUGUUGAAUGCUGAGAAUGAUUGAUGGUUGCUGCUCACUCAGCUUGCCUGUGCUCUGUUCUAUACUUGGGGAAAUUAUGAUAAUGAGAAUCGACAAUGCCCUCAUCAAUUAAUUGCCUAAAUAGCUUGCGUUGUGUGAGGUCUCCAGAGAUAGCAUGUGGCUACCCGAAAUAAAUAGCUUUGAGGGAUAGGACACAGCAAAUAUAGGACAUCAGAUAAGAAUGACAUAAUAGCUUGUAACUGGAUGUAACCAAUUAGACUGAAGCAAGUCACAGAUAAAAGUCACAGAUCCCUAUUUCUCCAAAACACAGUACAUGAAUGCACACUUCCGGUCAGUCAGGACUUCUCCAAGUAGCUCCAAACCGAAAUAAAUUCACCACGGAAUAGUGGCUAUGUCCCAAAUGGCCACCUAUUUCUUAUAUAGUGCACUGCUUUAGACUGGAGCCCAAUGGACCCUGAUCAAAAGUAGUGCACUACAUAGGGAAUAGGGGGCCAUUUGGGAUACACAAGGUAUCUGCUAAGUUCUCUCAUAAUGCCUUCUUUCAGAUAGGGUGCUGUCAACAGUGGACUAACCGCAUCCCACAUUUAACUUGACCAUGGCAUUGAGAACUUGACCAUGGCUUUGAGAAAACUUGACCAUGGCAUUGAGAAAACUUGACCAUGGCAUUGGGAAAACUUGACCAUGGCAUUGAGAACUUGACCAUGGCAUUGAGAACUUGACCAUGGCAUUGAGAAAACUUGACCAUGGCAUUGAGAACUUGACCAUGGCAUUGAGAACUUGACCAUGGCAUUGAGAACUUGACCAUGGCAUUGAGAAAACCUGACCAUGGCAUUGAGAAAACCUGACCAUGGCAUUGAGAAAACUUGACCAUGGCAUUGGGAAAACUUGACCAUGGCAUUGAGAAAACUUGACCAUGGCAUUGAGAAAACUUGACCAUGACAUUGAGAACUUGACCAUGGCAUUGAGAACUUGACCAUGGCAUUGAGAACUUGACCAUGGCAUUGAGAAAACUUGACCAUGGC